AUUAAACUAUACAUGCAUACCUGCACUUCACCAUCAUGCUGAUUAGAAGCAUCUGCAGAAACUUGUGGGGGGCAUAGUGAGGGUAAUUGUGACAGCAAUCCUUUUCAGAAAAUGAAGGAAACCAGCCAGUGUGGUGGCUCAUACCUGUAAUCCCAGCACUUUAGGAGGCCAAGGCAGGCAGAUCACUUGAGCCCAAGAGUUUGAGACCACCCUGGGUAACAUGGUGAAAUGCUGUCUCUACAAAAAAUACAAAAAUUAUCUGGGCAUGGUGGUGCACACCUGUGACCCCAGCUUUUCAGGAGGCUGAGGUGGGAGGAUCGCUUGAACCCAGGAGGUUGAGGCUGCAGUGAGCCCUGAUCCUGCCACUGCACUCCAGCCUGGGUGAUACAGCAAGACCCUGUCUCCAUAAACAAAACAAAAAAAAUGAGGGAAACUGAGUGUUACAGAGAUCAAUAUUUUUCUAAGAAAACCUAAAAUUGUCUGCUAGUAUGGAAACUCAAGUUUGCUUCAUAGCAGGGUGUGCUGAGACUCUUAUUUUUGAGUUCCUCUUAUACUUGCAGAGCUGGCCUUUUCUUUUUAAACUAUCCAUCAUGACAUGUACACCCUGCCUCUUGGGGUAGUUAGGUGAACGCUUUUGGCCAGGGAAAUGCUUGUCCAAGAAAAAACAAGCAUUGCUCUCUUAUCUGGGUGCCCUUCUCUGGGUAACAUGCCCAAAUGAUACAUUACUGUGUCUCCUCUAUUUCUUCUUCACCUCUUUAAUGCCAACAACAAAGAAUCACUUGCCUUUUGCAAUUAGUCUCAGACAUUUGCUACCUUUAAUGAGUUAUAAAGUCCACCCCGUAUCUCACUUUCCUCAAUAUGUCCUGCUUUGUUAGCAAUUGAAAGUCACUCUAGCCCCUGCCCAGGCCAGGGACUGCCCAUUCUGAAGGGCAAGAACAACUUAGAACUGAGACAUUCAGAGCAAAUCUCAGGUGCCCAGUUUGGAGAGGAAGGCUGAGUGCUGAAUGCUUUCUGAGCAGCAGAUCACCAGUCCCUGAGUGUCUCUCUGGCUAUGUGCUGAAGGUCAGAUGCUGGGACCACUGUGGUGACUAUGCCAAGUGCAGCAGUGGCAGGAUCGGCAGUGUCCUCAGAGGCCAGUGCUGCCUGAC
RNAcentral lists this long non-coding RNA (1148 nucleotides) under Homo sapiens (human). RNAcentral describes it as "HSALNT0200106". The record is from RNAcentral. Lineage: Eukaryota; Metazoa; Chordata; Mammalia; Primates; Hominidae.